RNAcentral lists this ribosomal RNA (465 nucleotides) under uncultured bacterium. Its description in RNAcentral is "partial 16S ribosomal RNA". It matches the Rfam family "Bacterial small subunit ribosomal RNA", at positions 28 to 507 of the family's 1533-position model. The record is from RNAcentral.
GACGAACGCUGGCGGCGUGCUUAACACAUGCAAGUCGAACGGAAAGGCCCUGCUUGCCGGGUACUCGAGUGGCGAACGGGUGAGUAACACGUGGGUGAUCUGCCCUGCACUUCGGGAUAAGCCUGGGAAACUGGGUCUAAUACCGGAUAGGAGCCAUUUUUAGUGUGAUGGUUGGAAAGUUUUUUCGGUGUAGGAUGAGCUCGCGGCCUAUCAGCUUGUUGGUGGGGUAAUGGCCUACCAAGGCGGCGACGGGUAGCCGGCCUGAGAGGGUGGACGGCCACAUUGGGACUGAGAUACGGCCCAGACGCCGACGGGAGGCAGCAGUGGGGAAUAUUGCACAAUGGGCGCAAGCCUGAUGCAGCGACGCCGCGGGGGGGAUGACGGCCUUCGGGUUGUAAACUCCUUUCACUAGGGACGAAGCUUUUUGUGACGGUACCUAGAGAAGAAGCACCGGCUAACUACGUG